GAUGAACGCUGACAGAAUGCUUAACACAUGCAAGUCAUUGGCGAAGCUGCGCUUGCGCAGUCUAGCCAAGGCGGACGGGUGAGUAACGCGUAAGGAACUUGCCCUGCAGACAGGGAUAACAGACGGAAACGACUGAUAACACCUGGUAUUGUCAAGCUGGCGCAUGCCGGCCUGAUGAAAGGAGACGCUGCAGGAGAGCCUUGCGUCCUAUUAGCUAGUUGGUGGGGUAACGGCCCACCAAGGCGAUGAUAGGUAGCCGGCCUGAGAGGGUGAACGGCCACAAGGGGACUGAGAUACGGCCCUUACUCCUACGGGAGGCAGCAGUGGGGAAUAUUGGACAAUGGGGGCAACCCUGAUCCAGCAAUUCUGUGUGCACGAAGAAGGUUUUCGGAUUGUAAAGGGCUUUCAGCAGGGAAGAAGAAAGUGACGGUACCUGCAGAAGAAGCGACGGCUAAAUACGUG
Molecule: ribosomal RNA, 462 nt
Filed under: uncultured bacterium
Lineage: Bacteria
Description: partial 16S ribosomal RNA
Rfam family: Bacterial small subunit ribosomal RNA
Source: RNAcentral